AACCCAUUCAUAGACCCAUCAGUGUUGAGAGUGAUCCAAUCACAAGGAGGGGGUGCCAUCUGAUAAGUUGUUCUUCUCUGGAUCUUCUGUGAAUUCUUCUUUGCUUCUUGUCAAAAGCUUCCCUAAUCUCUUCUACUUCCUUCAAAAUCUGCAAGCGAGGGUGGGGCGGCCUCCGAUAGUUCUGCUCGUGGACCUCCCGAUUUCUCCAAAUCCAAAUCUUCCAAGCGGCGACGAUGAAGAUGUCUUUCCACUUGAGGUUAGGGUUUAUAUUCAAUUGAUUGAAUAAGUUGAAUUUGGUCGAAUUUUCAAAAUUA
This is a non-coding RNA of Arachis ipaensis, 314 nucleotides long. The record is from RefSeq and is a predicted model, not a curated record. NCBI's taxonomy places the organism in Eukaryota, Viridiplantae, Streptophyta, Magnoliopsida, Fabales, Fabaceae.